RNAcentral lists this ribosomal RNA (465 nucleotides) under uncultured bacterium. RNAcentral's name for it is "partial 16S ribosomal RNA". It matches the Rfam family "Bacterial small subunit ribosomal RNA", at positions 338 to 795 of the family's 1533-position model. The record is from RNAcentral.
CCUACGGGAGGCAGCAGUGGGGAAUAUUGCGCAAUGGGCGAAAGCCUGACGCAGCGACGCCGCGUGAGGGAUGAAGGUCUUCGGAUCGUAAACCUCUGUUUGUAGGGAAGAACGGUCACUGUGCUAAUCAGCAGUGAAUUGACGGUACCUGCAAAGGAAGCACCGGCUAACUCCGUGCCAGCAGCCGCGGUAAUACGGAGGGUGCGAGCGUUAAUCGGAGUUACUGGGCGUAAAGCGCUCGUAGGCGGUAUGUCAAGUCAAGGGUGAAAUCCCCGCGCUCAACGUGGGAACUGCCUUUGAAACUGGCAAACUGGAGUGUGUGAGAGGAUAGUGGAAUUCCAGGUGUAGGGGUGAAAUGCGUAGAUAUCUGGAGGAACAUCAGUGGCGAAGGCGACUAUCUGGCACAUAACUGACGCUGAGGAGCGAAAGCGUGGGUAGCAAACAGGAUUAGAUACCCUGGUAGUC